GGGGAUGUAGCUCAGUGGUAGAGUGCUUGCCUAGCAUACAUGAGGCUCUAGGUUCAAUCCCCAGUUCCCCCC
This is a non-coding RNA of Fukomys damarensis (Damara mole-rat), 72 nucleotides long. NCBI's taxonomy places the organism in Eukaryota, Metazoa, Chordata, Mammalia, Rodentia, Bathyergidae. The record is from Rfam.